Molecule: non-coding RNA, 228 nt
Organism: Pelobates cultripes (western spadefoot toad)
Lineage: Eukaryota; Metazoa; Chordata; Amphibia; Anura; Pelobatidae
Source: the annotation of a GenBank genome assembly
UAUGGAAGAGGAUGGAGUAGGAGGAGUAGAGGAGGUGGCAGCAGGCCUGCCUGCAAGUCGUGGCGGUGUCACCAACUCCUCUGCAGAGCCACGCAUUCCAUGCUUGGCAGCCGUCAGCAGGUUUACCCAAUGCGCAGUGUAGGUGAUAUACCUGCCCUGACCAUGCUUUGCAAACCAGGUAUCAGUGGUCAGAUGGACCCUUGCCCCAACACUGUGUGCCAGACAUGC